This 753-nucleotide long non-coding RNA is filed under the name Salmo salar (Atlantic salmon). Its description in RNAcentral is "lncRNA (ENSSSAG00000102349.1, ENSSSAG00075039315.1)". The record is from RNAcentral. Lineage: Eukaryota; Metazoa; Chordata; Actinopteri; Salmoniformes; Salmonidae.
GCUGUCCAUUCUCCCGACAAAGUUAAUCGGUUGGGCGGCAGCUGGCCACGUUAUUAGAGACCACAGGUUACUGUUGCUCUGCCCAACAUCCUCCUCCUGCCUCAGCAGUGCAGAGGUCCAGGUGUUUACUUACCCAGCUAGGUUGGCUGGCUUGCUCAUGGCUUUACCUCCAGACUGGCUCGCUCUCUGCCUUUCAAAACGGACAUCUGCUCGUCCACCUUGGGCGUCCAGGUUCAGAGAGUGUGAUACUCAUCACCGACCUGCUCCCAAAUGUCUCCCCUUCUCAAUCAACGAAUUCCCUUCCUGUUCCCCGAUUUAAGAGGUGACGUCCACUAUACUACCCUUGUCAACUCUCUCCUGACAAGAACUGAAUCCACGUCUCAUGUGCCCUCUCAUCCACUGGCAUAUUGAAUGUUUCCUCUCCAAGCACAAAUUGAGCUCUUCUUCAACACCAUCAAUGAUGAACCUGUCGUGCACCGAAGCCUAUGAAGACCUCAAACCUUGUCCUGCACUGAAAACAAGCCUCUGAACACAUCAACUCAUGCCUCAUACCAUUCAAUCACCUCUGUGAUCCCUUCCCAACACUGUUGCUACAGGCGCCUCGCCUAGGGAUCCAUGGCCAGGCAGCUGUAAUAUCUGAAUAACACCUUAAGGACUUUGACUGACUGAGAGAAGGUGGAUGACAGCUAAACUUUACUGCCUCCUACUGGGCCUGCUGUGGUCCAGAGCUCGUCAUACGAUCAGCAAGAAGGC